Molecule: non-coding RNA, 90 nt
Organism: Saccharata proteae CBS 121410
Lineage: Eukaryota; Fungi; Ascomycota; Dothideomycetes; Botryosphaeriales; Saccharataceae
Source: the annotation of a GenBank genome assembly
GGGCGCUUGGUCUAGGGGUAUGAUUUUCGCUUCGCAUCAAUCACAAGACGUGUAUGUGAAAGGUCGUGGGUUCAAUUCCCACAGCGUCCA